UCUUAAAUUAAAAAAAAAGAAAAAGACAGUUACCAGAUAGAAAGUGCUACUACUCUGAGAUCACCCUGCAAGAAGAAGUUAACCUACACGGAGAGAGAAAAGAAGGCCAAGCAGUAAGAAAUGAAGAAGUCGUCCUAGAUGACCCGUCCAGUUGAGCCUCCAGAUGACUCCAACCCCAGCCACAACCUGACCAUAAACACCUGAGAAACCCAAGUGAAAAACUGCCCAGCUUUACUUUGAGUUUUCAUGUAAAUUUGAGUCCCACAUUUAUAAGAAAUGUACAAUGAAACCAAGACUCUGUUCUGGAACAUAAUCAAUUGCUUUUCUAGCAUUGUUCACAUGCUACCCUUUUCAGCAGGAAAUGGAAAACAUCUAUUCAGAAGAUACCAGAAGCUCUGAUCAUUCAUUCGGCUAAACAAGUGAGCAGCUUUAUCACUGGCCAGAUUGAAGAUAUAGUUAUGCAUCAUUUAAAAACUGAUUAGGGGCCCCUGGGUGGUUCAGGCUGUUAAGCGUCCGACUCUCCAUUUU
Molecule: long non-coding RNA, 528 nt
Organism: Lontra canadensis (Northern American river otter)
Lineage: Eukaryota; Metazoa; Chordata; Mammalia; Carnivora; Mustelidae
Exons: 3
Source: RefSeq, a predicted model, not a curated record